Molecule: long non-coding RNA, 796 nt
Filed under: Struthio camelus australis
Lineage: Eukaryota; Metazoa; Chordata; Aves; Struthioniformes; Struthionidae
Description: lncRNA (ENSSCUG00000016076.1)
Source: RNAcentral
GUCAACUUUGAUGUAUUUUUAGUUGAAUUUCUGCCUAUGGAACUGGACGUGGUUUAUGUAUCUCAUUUUCAGGCUUUUGAACACUGUAUUUUUUCCUGUAGGUUGGUGUACGGUUAGAGAAUGCAGAAGUUCUCAUGCAGAAGAUUUUUGGGCGAAAGUCUGCUACUUUCAGUGACAAUUUUUUUGCAAACACUGAUGAAAGAAAGCGCAAGUCAGAAAACCCAGUGAAGACGGUAGGAAAGGUCAAGCAGAGGAAGUUCACUUCCAAGCGGUACAGCCGUGGUGAUCGUCUUGUGACCAAAGCUGGCAAGGCAAAGUUGGGAAGAGCUAACCAGAAUUGUCCCGCUAGAAAGUAUAAUAAGAUGAGUGAGUUAGUGAAGAAGUUCACUGAAAGAAUGGUGAGGAAGAAGGAGCUGAAAUGUGAGCUAAGCAUGAAGAUCUUUGGAAAUGAACUUAGCUUUGUGGAUUGUGAAGAUUUAAGAAAACAGAUGAAACAUUAUUCUUUAAAUCUGGCUGAGCUGGCAGUCAAACUUCUGAAGGUAAAAGGAACUUUUCUGCUGUUUGAGAAACUACCUUCUGGCAGAUAUGUAGAAGUUACAGACUAUUACUUGUUCUUUCUUUAAACCAAACUUUAAAAGACUCCAAUAUAUGUUGGGUUUAAACAGCAUUUGGUAAAUGGUGCUUUGAAUAGCCUUAGUGUUUAUGAGGCAAGGACUGGGUCUGUUGUCUGAUGAUUCUUAUCUCAUUUUCUCAUUCAAAAGCGUCCAUGCUUAAGGGCAAAAUAAUUCCAUUUUUU